UUAUUGCUUUAUUGAAUCCUG
RNAcentral lists this non-coding RNA (21 nucleotides) under Caenorhabditis elegans. Lineage: Eukaryota; Metazoa; Nematoda; Chromadorea; Rhabditida; Rhabditidae. The record is from RNAcentral.